This 441-nucleotide ribosomal RNA is filed under the name Bacillus sp. (in: firmicutes). Its description in RNAcentral is "bacterial SSU rRNA". It matches the Rfam family "Bacterial small subunit ribosomal RNA", at positions 350 to 783 of the family's 1533-position model. The record is from RNAcentral. Lineage: Bacteria; Bacillati; Bacillota; Bacilli; Caryophanales; Bacillaceae.
AGCAGUAGGGAAUCUUCCGCAAUGGACGAAAGUCUGACGGAGCAACGCCGCGUGAGUGAUGAAGGCUUUCGGGUCGUAAAACUCUGUUGUUAGGGAAGAACAAGUACAAGAGUAACUGCUUGUACCUUGACGGUACCUAACCAGAAAGCCACGGCUAACUACGUGCCAGCAGCCGCGGUAAUACGUAGGUGGCAAGCGUUAUCCGGAAUUAUUGGGCGUAAAGCGCGCGCAGGCGGUUUCUUAAGUCUGAUGUGAAAGCCCACGGCUCAACCGUGGAGGGUCAUUGGAAACUGGGGAACUUGAGUGCAGAAGAGAAAAGCGGAAUUCCACGUGUAGCGGUGAAAUGCGUAGAGAUGUGGAGGAACACCAGUGGCGAAGGCGGCUUUUUGGUCUGUAACUGACGCUGAGGCGCGAAAGCGUGGGGAGCAAACAGGAUUAGAU